UAGGGAAUCUUCGGCAAUGGACGGAAGUCUGACCGAGCAACGCCGCGUGAGUGAAGAAGGUUUUCGGAUCGUAAAGCUCUGUUGUAAGAGAAGAACGAGUGUGAGAGUGGAAAGUUCACACUGUGACGGUAUCUUACCAGAAAGGGACGGCUAACUACGUGCCAGCAGCCGCGGUAAUACGUAGGUCCCGAGCGUUGUCCGGAUUUAUUGGGCGUAAAGCGAGCGCAGGCGGUUAGAUAAGUCUGAAGUUAAAGGCUGUGGCUUAACCAUAGUACGCUUUGGAAACUGUUUAACUUGAGCGCAAGAGGGGAGAGUGGAAUUCCAUGUGUAGCGGUGAAAUGCGUAGAUAUAUGGAGGAACACCGGUGGCGAAAGCGGCUCUCUGGCUUGUAACUGACGCUGAGGCUCGAAAGCGUGGGGAGCAAACAGGAUUAGAUACCCUGGUAGUCCACGCCGUAAACGAUGAGUGCUAGGUGUUAGACCCUUUCCGGGGUUUAGUGUCGCAGCUAACGCAUUAANCACUCCGCCUGGGGAGUACGACCGCANGNU
This 548-nucleotide ribosomal RNA is filed under the name uncultured bacterium. RNAcentral describes it as "bacterial SSU rRNA". It matches the Rfam family "Bacterial small subunit ribosomal RNA", at positions 355 to 894 of the family's 1533-position model. The record is from RNAcentral.